UAGGGGAAGUUCAUUCCACUACCUCAGUGCCAGAACAGAAAAGGGUCUUCUUGUAUACCUUCCUCCCUGAUAGAUGGUGGGACCAGAGCAGUGAUGAGGGUGCGAGGUUCAGUACGAGGAGCGAUAAAAGCUUUAAGGUCAUCAAGAUUAAUAGUCCCCCACUUAUGCGCCAUGGAUGACACGGUGAUGAUCCGAGCCGGAGCAGACCUCUUAAGCAGUUUGUUAGGAGCCUGAUGCCAGUGUGCAGGAUAAAGCCAUGAUACAGCACCAGUGGAGCAGAGAAGGUUAAUGCAAUUCUCAAUGACCCAGCAGUGGCAACUUGAACCCAGACCUUCUGACCAGUAACUUAGUUAACUGUUAAGCCAUGAGAGAUAACUAAAUAAAAAGGGGGAAAUACAUUUUUAGAUUAUUAUUGUCAUUGUGCAGCCCUUUCUAUCUAUCUAUCUAUCUAUCUAUCUAUCUAUCUAUCUAUCUAUCUAUCUAUCUA
Tachysurus fulvidraco (yellow catfish) is the source of this 487-nucleotide long non-coding RNA. RefSeq lists it as uncharacterized. The transcript has 3 exons. NCBI's taxonomy places the organism in Eukaryota, Metazoa, Chordata, Actinopteri, Siluriformes, Bagridae. The record is from RefSeq and is a predicted model, not a curated record.